RNAcentral lists this ribosomal RNA (468 nucleotides) under uncultured bacterium. RNAcentral's name for it is "partial 16S ribosomal RNA". It matches the Rfam family "Bacterial small subunit ribosomal RNA", at positions 28 to 507 of the family's 1533-position model. The record is from RNAcentral.
GACGAACGCUGGCGGCGUGCUUAACACAUGCAAGUCGAACGGAAAGGCCCUGCUUUUGUGGGGUGCUCGAGUGGCGAACGGGUGAGUAACACGUGAGUAACCUGCCCUUGACUUUGGGAUAACUUCAGGAAACUGGGGCUAAUACCGGAUAUGAGCUCCUGCUGCAUGGUGGGGGUUGGAAAGUUUCGGCGGUUGGGGAUGGACUCGCGGCUUAUCAGCUUGUUGGUGGGGUAGUGGCUUACCAAGGCUUUGACGGGUAGCCGGCCUGAGAGGGUGACCGGCAACAUUGGGACUGAGAUACGGCCCAGACUCCUACGGGAGGCAGCAGUGGGGAAUAUUGCACAAUGGGCGGAAGCAUGAUGCAGAAAAGCCGCGUGCGGGAUGAAGGCCUUCGGGUUGUAAACCGCUUUCGAAUGUGAAGAAGAGUGAGUGACGGUAAUGGGUAAAGAAGCACCGGCUAACUACGUG